ACAAAAUUUGGACCGUCGGUCUUCUGAGCAAUAUCACCCACUGGGUAGAAGAUCUUCCUUUCGUCGU
RNAcentral lists this microRNA precursor (67 nucleotides) under Bombyx mori (domestic silkworm). RNAcentral's name for it is "mir-2774 microRNA precursor family". It matches the Rfam family "mir-2774 microRNA precursor family". Lineage: Eukaryota; Metazoa; Arthropoda; Insecta; Lepidoptera; Bombycidae. The record is from Rfam by way of RNAcentral.